CCUACGAGAGGCAGCAGUGAGGAAUAUUGGUCAAUGGGCGUAAGCCUGAACCAGCCAAGUCGCGUGAGGGAUGAAGGUUCUAUGGAUCGUAAACCUCUGUUAUCAGGGAAUAAAGUGCGGGACGGGUCCCGUUUUGUAUGUACCUUAUGAAUAAGGAUCGGCUACCUCCGUGCCAGCAGCCGCGGUAAUACGGAGGAUCCGAGCGUACUCCGGACUUAUUGGGUUUAAGGGGUGCGUAGGCGGCCUUUUAAGUCAGCGGUGAAAGUCUGUGGCGCAACCAUAGAAUUGCCGUUGAAACUGGGAGUCUUGAGUAUGUUUGAGGCAGGCGGAAUGCGUGGUGUAGCGGUGAAAUGCUUAGAUAUCACGCAGAACCCCGAUUGCGAAGGCAGCCUGCCAAGCCAUGACUGACGCUGAUGCACGAAAGCGUGGGGAUCAAACAGGAUUAGAUACCCCAGUAGUC
This 460-nucleotide ribosomal RNA is filed under the name uncultured bacterium. RNAcentral's name for it is "partial 16S ribosomal RNA". It matches the Rfam family "Bacterial small subunit ribosomal RNA", at positions 338 to 795 of the family's 1533-position model. The record is from RNAcentral.